RNAcentral lists this long non-coding RNA (1096 nucleotides) under Vulpes vulpes (red fox). Its description in RNAcentral is "lncRNA (ENSVVUG00000011062.1)". The record is from RNAcentral. Lineage: Eukaryota; Metazoa; Chordata; Mammalia; Carnivora; Canidae.
CUUAAACCAUAACUUGUCAGAAGUAGGGACUUCAAUCAUUUUGUGCCAUUUUUUUUUAAAUUUUUAUUUAUUUAUGAUAGGCACACAGUGAGAGAGAGAGAGGCAGAGACACAGGCAGAGGGAGAAGCAGGCUCCAUGCACCAAGAGCCCGACGUGGGACUCGAUCCCGGAUCUCCAAGAUCACGCCCUGGGCCAAAGGCAGGCGCCAAACGCUGCACCACCCAGGGAUCCCAUUUUGUGCCAUUUUUAACCAGAGUUCCUAUGUAUCUUUCCUGCCCCUGCAGGCUGGCUUCAUCUAGUGCUUAUUCAUCAAACCUCUCUAUUCUUCAGUGUAUUUAUGACUUGAUCUUCCCUGUAGCAUGUUCAAAGAAUAAAUACCUUUAUCUGAAACAGGGGAGGACUUGUUUUCAAUCAUUGCAUCAUUCACAUUUGUGGACCUGGCUGGCUGCCUCUCAAGUUCAAAAGUUGUUCAGUGGUGUCUCCAUUCAUAUGAAGUGCGCCGUGAAGGUGACUUAAACAUCUCCAGGUUUCCUGUCACAAAUGAGAUGUGAUGACAUCAUGCUCAUUGAAGUCUGCUGUAUUCCCAACCACAAAAAGGCUGAGAAGAAAGAGAAGAAAGGAAGUAUGGCAAUAAUGUCGCCCAUUCUUUCCGAGGCAAAGCUAAGGGUUGGAGUGGGAGAAGAGGGGACAAACACAAAUCACUUCAUCUACAUUCCUGGUAUGUAGAGCUUUCCAAAAUGUACCUUGUAAAUGAUUUAGGCUUUCCGUAAAACUUCUUCUUUGCCAACAAGAUACAACAGUUUACAAGGAAAGAUUUCAAAAAAACAUGUAUGUUGUCAGACCUAGAUUCGAGUCCUGGCUUGAGACUUCUCAUUAUAGGAAAUAAUCAAUUCUUCUUAUUGUAUAAGUCAGUUUGAUUAGUUUUCCUAUGAAACUUAAUACCAAAAGCCUCUUAACAAAUGGAUCAAUUCUACAAAAUUGGAAUUUGAACACCUACAUCAGAGGGUUUUGAGAAAAGAAUGAGUAAAUAUGUAUUUCACAUGGUGCUUGUCAUAUUGCAUAUGCUUAAUAAAUGUCACCCUUGUCAUAACUGACA